GGUCUAUGAUGCAGUAAAAUAUUUGCUACUCUUGAUGGGAAAAACACCCACUUGAUGAUUUAUUAUCCACCAAGAUCUCUGAGGCC
This 86-nucleotide small nucleolar RNA is filed under the name Medicago truncatula (barrel medic). RNAcentral's name for it is "Small nucleolar RNA SNORD24". It matches the Rfam family "Small nucleolar RNA SNORD24". Rfam says of the family: U24 is a member of the C/D class of snoRNA which contain the C (UGAUGA) and D (CUGA) box motifs. C/D box snoRNAs have been shown to act as methylation guides for a number of RNA targets. Lineage: Eukaryota; Viridiplantae; Streptophyta; Magnoliopsida; Fabales; Fabaceae. The record is from Rfam by way of RNAcentral.